This 332-nucleotide unclassified non-coding RNA is filed under the name Oresbia heterocarpa. Its description in RNAcentral is "partial contains external transcribed spacer and 18S ribosomal RNA". The record is from RNAcentral. Lineage: Eukaryota; Viridiplantae; Streptophyta; Magnoliopsida; Asterales; Asteraceae.
GAGCAUAUUGUGGGUUUCCUGUGUUGCAUACCUAAUUAAUGGUAUCAUUUUGAUUGAUCGAAGUCCCUUUUCAUCUUGUGUUGCAUUUGUGACGCAUGAUGAACCUUGAAGCGGUCUCUAUGUUCCAUCAUGUUGAUGCAAAUGCGUCGAUGUUGUGGCCCAUUGAGUGUUGCUUGGUAUCCUGGAUACGGAACAUUGUUUGGGCAUGGGGUCUCUCAUGACUCUUUUUUUGUCCUUGUCGGUGUUCUUCAAAACGACAGCUCAUGCGCGCCUAGGCUCGUACCUGCGCGAUGUUCUUUGUCGAAGAGGAAUGCUACCUGGUUGAUCCUGCC